This 223-nucleotide ribosomal RNA is filed under the name uncultured bacterium. RNAcentral describes it as "partial 16S ribosomal RNA". It matches the Rfam family "Bacterial small subunit ribosomal RNA", at positions 113 to 334 of the family's 1533-position model. The record is from RNAcentral.
CGACGUGAGGAACCUGCCUCAAAGAGGGGGACAACAGUUGGAAGCGACUGCUAAUACCGCAUAAGCCCACAGCUCGGCAUCGAGCAGAGGGAAAAGGAGUGAUCCGCUUUGAGAUGGCCUCGCGUCCGAUUAGCUAGUUGGUGAGGUAAUGGCCCACCAAGGCGACGAUCGGUAGCCGGACUGAGAGGUUGAACGGCCACAUUGGGACUGAGACACGGCCCAG